ACACCGCCCGUCACACCAUGAGAGUCGAUAACACCCGAAGCCUGUGAGCUAACCUUUUAGGAGGCAGCAGUCGAAGGUGGGGUUGAUGAUUGGGGUGAAGUCGUAACAAGGUAAC
Molecule: ribosomal RNA, 115 nt
Filed under: uncultured bacterium
Lineage: Bacteria
Description: partial 16S ribosomal RNA
Rfam family: Bacterial small subunit ribosomal RNA
Source: RNAcentral